RNAcentral lists this ribosomal RNA (253 nucleotides) under uncultured bacterium. RNAcentral's name for it is "partial 16S ribosomal RNA". It matches the Rfam family "Bacterial small subunit ribosomal RNA", at positions 524 to 776 of the family's 1533-position model. The record is from RNAcentral.
UACGAGAGGCCCAAACAUUAUUCGGAAUUACUGGGCUUAAAGAGUUCGUAGGCGGCAUGGUAAGUAGGGUGUGAAAUCCCUCGGCUCAACCGAGGAAUUGCGCUCUAAACUACCGUGCUCGAGGAAGCUAGAGGUGAGCGGAACUGAUGGUGGGGCGGUGAAAUGCGUUGAUAUCAUCAGGAACACCGGAGGCGAAGGCGGCUCACUGGGGCUUUUCUGACGCUGAGGAACGAAAGCCAGGGUAGCGAACGGG